RNAcentral lists this ribosomal RNA (279 nucleotides) under uncultured bacterium. Its description in RNAcentral is "partial 16S ribosomal RNA". It matches the Rfam family "Bacterial small subunit ribosomal RNA", at positions 506 to 784 of the family's 1533-position model. The record is from RNAcentral.
UGCCAGCCGCCGCGGUAAUACAGAGGGUGCAAGCGUUAAUCGGAAUUACUGGGCGUAAAGGGAGCGUAGGUGGCUCAAUCAGUCAGAUGUGAAAUCCCCGGGCUUAACCUAGGAACUGCAUCUGAUACUGUUGAACUAGAGUAGGUGAGAGGGGAGUAGAAUUUCAGGUGUAGCGGUGAAAUGCGUAGAUAUCUGAAGGAAUACCGAUGGCGAAGGCAGCUCCCUGGCAUCAUACUGACACUGAGGCUCGAAAGCGUGGGUAGCAAACAGGAUUAGAUA